UGCAACAAUUUUAAAGAUUGAGUCUCCGUCUGGAUAAGAGGACUAGAUCAGUGCAGCCCAGUUUAAAUAGUGGAGUCUUAUCAUUUUCUCUAACAUCCUUGUUGAAAAGGAUCUUCUCAACCACAUCUGCAUGAAGGGAGGCGGACGGAGGCAUUAAACUAAAUGCUGUGACUGGAGCCUGUCAGACUGAAUUGAGGGCAACUUACAGCCUGCUUCUGCUCCUCAUCCUAUCAGCCAGCAAAGAGGAAGAUGCUGUUGCAGCUGGGACCAUACCUGAGGAGCCGCAGUUCAGUCAGAAGCGUGGGGUUCUGCUGGGCUUUCUCCGGGGUCGGCUGAGAGGCCUGUUCAUGCUCCAGACGCAGCCUCUGGAUCUCCUGCAGGAUCUCCCUGAAUUAGUCAGACAAGCUCUGCGAUCAGCUGCCUCUGCUGCUUGUUGGCAUCAAAGUUGAAACUCAGAUCUGUUGGAGGACACUGUUGCUGAAAUUUAAAAAAAAGAUCAUAGAAAGGAAUUAACAACAGUGACAAAAGCCAAACACCAACAGCUUCCCUCUGACCACAGUGAGCAGUAAUGACUCUGCUGCAACAGGGAGUCAUUUUAGGUCACCACAGCUUUUCUUUAUCAUUCAUCAUACUGCAAAUAGAGGAUCCAUCAAACCCUAAACCCACAGUAACCCCACAUUAACACUUUCUGACUUGGAAUGACUUUUGUCAAUCCAAAAUAGUAUAUAAAGAUUUAUUGCAAGCCGAGUAAAAGUCCCAGUCGUUAAGAUUUUUGUGACUCCAAACCACAUUUUUGAUUUACUCAUGGGGAAGUCACAGUAAAUAAAUGCAUGCAUGUGCAAUAUAAUUUAAUCAUGUGAAUAUCAGCCUGUUCAUUCUCAAUGCACCGGAUCUGUUUCCAUUUAGUGCUAGUGCUA
Molecule: non-coding RNA, 917 nt
Organism: Paralichthys olivaceus (Japanese flounder)
Lineage: Eukaryota; Metazoa; Chordata; Actinopteri; Pleuronectiformes; Paralichthyidae
Source: RefSeq, a predicted model, not a curated record